UACGUAGGGUGCAAGCGUUAAUCGGAAUUACUGGGCGUAAAGCGUGCGCAGGCGGUUAUGUAAGACAGUUGUGAAAUCCCCGGGCUCAACCUGGGAACUGCAUCUGUGACUGCAUAGCUAGAGUACGGUAGAGGGGGAUGGAAUUCCGCGUGUAGCAGUGAAAUGCGUAGAUAUGCGGAGGAACACCGAUGGCGAAGGCAAUCCCCUGGACCUGUACUGACGCUCAUGCACGAAAGCGUGGGGAGUAAACAGG
RNAcentral lists this ribosomal RNA (253 nucleotides) under uncultured bacterium. RNAcentral's name for it is "partial 16S ribosomal RNA". It matches the Rfam family "Bacterial small subunit ribosomal RNA", at positions 524 to 776 of the family's 1533-position model. The record is from RNAcentral.